GGGGAUGACUGGUUUCGACGGGUAAGUUGAAGCUUCAGUGGCGUGUCGAGGUUGGCCUCCAGGCCUCGUAAAAAGGAGUCCAAAAAACAUAAAUGCUGACGAAAGUUACGCACUGGCAGCUUAGUUCUGCCACGUCUCUACCCUGAAGCCUGUUAGGGGCUAGAGGCGACGAUAACAGGCUGGCACCAAGGUCGGGGAUCCGGGCGGCGGUGCGAGAAUCAACAGGAUCCUAGCGACCAAAGUGGCCCGGUCAGGCGGCAGCGGCGGCGGCGAAUCCUUUAAUGCCCGACUACACACGUAGAAGCUGUUGUGACUCUUAUUCGGACGGGGGUUCAAUUCCCCCCAUCUCCACCA
RNAcentral lists this transfer-messenger RNA (354 nucleotides) under Kiritimatiellales bacterium. It matches the Rfam family "transfer-messenger RNA". Rfam says of the family: Bacterial tmRNA, also known as 10Sa RNA or SsrA, is named for its dual tRNA and mRNA-like properties. Its role is to liberate the mRNA from a stalled ribosome. The record is from RNAcentral. Lineage: Bacteria; Pseudomonadati; Kiritimatiellota; Kiritimatiellia; Kiritimatiellales. RNAcentral also lists the same sequence under 1 other name.